GACGAACGCUGGCGGCGUGCCUAACACAUGCAAGUCGAGCGGGGUUGAAGCGAGGGGUAACUCGAACUUCUACCUAGCGGCGGACGGGUGAGUAACGCGUGGGCAACCUGCCUCAAGGUCUGGGAUAACAGCUCGAAAGGGCUGCUAAUACCGGAUAUGCCUAUGGCCUCGCAUGGGGCUAUGAGCAAAGGGGAAACCCGCCUUGAGAUGGGCCCGCGUCCCAUCAGCUAGUUGGUGAGGUGAAGGCUCACCAAGGCGACGACGGGUAGCCGGCCUGAGAGGGUGACCGGCCACACUGGGACUGAGACACGGCCCAGACUCCUACGGGGGGCAGCAGUGGGGAAUCUUGCACAAUGGGCGAAAGCCUGAUGCAGCGACGCCGCGUGAGCGAAGAAGGCCUUCGGGUUGUAAAGCUCUGUCUGGAGGGACGAAGAAAGUGACGGUACCUCCGGAGGAAGCCACGGCUAACUACGUG
This 475-nucleotide ribosomal RNA is filed under the name uncultured bacterium. RNAcentral describes it as "bacterial SSU rRNA". It matches the Rfam family "Bacterial small subunit ribosomal RNA", at positions 28 to 507 of the family's 1533-position model. The record is from RNAcentral.